This 704-nucleotide ribosomal RNA is filed under the name uncultured Bacteroidales bacterium. RNAcentral describes it as "bacterial SSU rRNA". It matches the Rfam family "Bacterial small subunit ribosomal RNA", at positions 44 to 740 of the family's 1533-position model. The record is from RNAcentral. Lineage: Bacteria; Pseudomonadati; Bacteroidota; Bacteroidia; Bacteroidales.
AGGCUUAACACAUGCAAGUCGAGGGGCAGCAUUCUUCUAGCAAUAGAAGAGAUGGCGACCGGCGCACGGGUGAGUAACACGUAUCCAACCUACCGAUAACUCCGGAAUAGCCUUUCGAAAGAAAGAUUAAUACCGGAUAGCAUACGAAUAUCGCAUGAUAUUUUUAUUAAAGAAUUUCGGUUAUCGAUGGGGAUGCGUUCCAUUAGUUUGUUGGCGGGGUAACGGCCCACCAAGACUACGAUGGAUAGGGGUUCUGAGAGGAAGGUCCCCCACAUUGGAACUGAGACACGGUCCAAACUCCUACGGGAGGCAGCAGUGAGGAAUAUUGGUCAAUGGGCGCGAGCCUGAACCAGCCAAGUAGCGUGAAGGAUGAAGGCUCUAUGGGUCGUAAACUUCUUUUAUAUGGGAAUAAAGUUUUCCACGUGUGGAAUUUUGUAUGUACCAUAUGAAUAAGGAUCGGCUAACUCCGUGCCAGCAGCCGCGGUAAUACGGAGGAUCCGAGCGUUAUCCGGAUUUAUUGGGUUUAAAGGGAGCGUAGGUGGAUUGUUAAGUCAGUUGUGAAAGUUUGCGGCUCAACCGUAAAAUUGCAGUUGAAACUGGCAGUCUUGAGUACAGUAGAGGUGGGCGGAAUUCGUGGUGUAGCGGUGAAAUGCUUAGAUAUCACGAAGAACUCCGAUUGCGAAGGCAGCUCACUAGACUGUUAC